This 252-nucleotide ribosomal RNA is filed under the name uncultured bacterium. RNAcentral's name for it is "partial 16S ribosomal RNA". It matches the Rfam family "Bacterial small subunit ribosomal RNA", at positions 524 to 776 of the family's 1533-position model. The record is from RNAcentral.
UACGUAGGUCCCGAGCGUUGUCCGGAUUUAUUGGGCGUAAAGCGAGCGCAGGUGGUUUAUUAAGUCUGGUGUAAAAGGCAGUGGCUCAACCAUUGUAUGCAUUGGAAACUGGUAGACUUGGGUGCAGAAGAGGAGAGUGGAACUCCAUGUGUAGCGGUGAAAUGCGUAGAUAUAUGGAAGAACACCAGUGGCGAAAGCGGCUCUCUGGUCUGUAACUGACGCUGAGGUUCGAAAGCGUGGGUAGCAAACAGG